UAUAGAAUUUUGAUUUAAUUAUUAUUAUUUUUAUUUAUAUUAACUAUAUAUAAUAGUUAUUAACUUAAUAUUAAUAUAUAUAGUUAUUAAUAUAUAUUACUAUUUACUAUUAUAUAUAAUAUAUUAUCAUAGCAGAUUAGAUUAAUCAUAUUAGAGCGGAUCGGCCCUAAGGAAAGGAUAAGAUAAGGGUCCAAUCCAGAUCCUAAUGAGACAUUUCUCUGGUUUGAUUCAGAAAGGGGGGAGAUAGAACGAAAAAAAAAAAAAAUGAAUAUCGACCGUUCCAUUAUUCAAAACCGCACGGGAAAAAUGAGAGGGGGGGUGUAUAUGUGGGAUAUCUCUAUCCAUAUUGAAUUUCAGAUACAUCAAUGAUAGAAUCAUUUUUGAUUUGAUUGGACCAAAUACGGGCCCUCCGAUAGAGAUGAAAGAAGAUGGGCAAGAAAUAAAAUAGGAGUAGACGCUUUUCGAUAUAGGAAUCAGUAUCUAAUGAAUUAAAUGGUUCCGACAUAAACAUAAAUAAAUGAAAGAGGGGGGUUGGAUCACAAU
RNAcentral lists this unclassified non-coding RNA (543 nucleotides) under Aspidostemon sp. van der Werff 12737. RNAcentral describes it as "trnT-trnL intergenic spacer region". The record is from RNAcentral. Lineage: Eukaryota; Viridiplantae; Streptophyta; Magnoliopsida; Laurales; Lauraceae.